AUCGGGGAGCCGCUGACUGCCUGUUACGGAGUUUGUAACGCACAGCAGGGCUGAGAGGAAAAAUUUUCGACCCGUAAACCUGAUUUGGGUAAUGCCAACGUAGGGAAUAUUU
RNAcentral lists this non-coding RNA (112 nucleotides) under human gut metagenome. The record is from RNAcentral.